UCGGAAUAAAAAAAAAUAUGAUCCAUCAAUUGAAUAAAUACUGUGUAUUUUAAGUAUAGGCACACUGAUAAGAAAUAGAUAUAUAAAAGUGAAUUUUUUCAAUCCAGUGGUACUUGCAAACGAAUUGGUAUCAGUAAUAACUCAAUUCAACAUUUGAUUUACAAUUCAUUACUUUGCGAAAAUGCAUUCAAAAUUAUUGUUAAUUGCUUUAUUGGUUGCACUACUGGUAAUUUGUGCACGAGCACAAGGUCAGUGUGCUUUGACGGGUCAAGCCUGUGAUCCUUUUGCGGAAAAGCCUUGUUGUAAUUAUUACGAAGAAGUUUGUUCACGUUUUGGUAGAGAGGAGGCAGCAACGUGUAAAGUCGCAAACUGUUAAAAUUUAACAGAUGUAAAGAAAAAAAAAAAUAUUGAAUGUUUAAAUUAUAAUAUGUUCAAUGAUAUAUUAAAUAAAAUUUAAACAUCAGAAUUUACAAACAAAUUUUAUUUUAUUUUUUCACCCAUUUUUCACAUGCACACUAGAGUACACGAAGAAAACGUGUCUCGAAAAUAUAGUAAUAUUUCAUAUUUAUUCAGUAAAAAAAACCAUGAAUGAAAAUUACUUUUAUCUUCCCGCUAAGAAAAUCGACGAUUUUCGAAAUUUCGGGAAGUUAUUGUUUUCAUUCCGAUUUGCGAAAAUCGAAAUUUCAUCAGAUGUCGACGUUUUGAGGUCCUAGGAAGCUAUUCUGACUAUUUUCAGAAUGAUGUCCGAGUGUCCGUAUGUAUGUAUGUGUGCGUUUGUGUGUGCGUGCGUGUAUGUGUAUGUGUGUAUGUAUGUGUGUGACCGGUCUAUAACUAUUCAACUAAUAAACCGAUGGUUUAGGCGGCAAUCGAAAGAGCUUGUUGGCUAUCAACUUUUCUGAAAAUUUCAGAUCAUUUGAUCAAGUAGACUCGAAAAUAUACAGAUAUUUUCAAUGAGAUUUCAAAAAUGACUAUAUUCGUUCAUGCAUGAUUAUAUCUAAUCAUAUAUGAUUAUAUAUGAUCAGAUCUGGCCAAUUUUCAGAUCUGAUUAUAUAUGGACUUAUUUAUAAUUAUACAAAAUCAUUUUUUAUCGGGUAAAUAUGUAUACUAUACUUUAAUAUAAAUAUAUAACAAAUGAAAAAAUAUUCUGCUUAUUUGUUAAUUCCCGCGAAAAAAUAUGUAUUGUUUUCGAGACGGAUAACAAAGUAAAUAUUUUUAUUUUCUUUCGUUUUUCAUAAAUUUCUUAAUAAAGCUAAGAAAAUAUUAUGUGUGAAUGAAAAUCAAUCUGACUGUUUUAAAUCAUUUAUAAAUAAGAGGUAACGGACACAUUAUUAUUAUUAAAAAAAAAAUAUCACUAAAAUGAAAAAUAUUAAAAAAUUGAUUUAUCAGUUGAAUAAAUAUUGAUGGUUCUUUACCUUAAGUGACUGAUAAAAAUUAAUUUUUUACAAUAUAGUGAUACUUGCAAGAAAGUUGGAAUCAGCAGCAGCUCAAUUUAACAUUUGAUUUACUAUCAAUUACUAUACAAAAAUGCAUUUAAAAUUUGUAUUAUUUGCGUUAUUAGUUGCACUACUGGCAAUUUUCUCACGAGCAGAAGAACAGUGUGCUUUGACGGGUGAAGAAUGUAAUCGUUUUACCGCUAAUCCUUGUUGUAAGGAGGACGAAAAGUGUUUAGGUCCGAUUGACCAUAAAACCUGUACUUUCUUCGAAUAUAUAGAAUAUGAAAAGGACAGAAAAUAACAUUUUAUAUUUUUUUCUUUAGUUUAAAAAGAUAAACAAAUAUUUACUUCAAAGACUCAAUGUAUUAAUUAAUUUAUAACAUGUUCAAUAAAAUCGACACAUUCGAGUUUACAAACAA
This is a long non-coding RNA of Microplitis mediator, 1852 nucleotides long. RefSeq lists it as uncharacterized. The transcript is spliced from 5 exons. The record is from RefSeq and is a predicted model, not a curated record. NCBI's taxonomy places the organism in Eukaryota, Metazoa, Arthropoda, Insecta, Hymenoptera, Braconidae.